Malurus melanocephalus (red-backed fairy wren) is the source of this 3360-nucleotide long non-coding RNA. RefSeq lists it as uncharacterized. The record is from RefSeq and is a predicted model, not a curated record. The transcript is spliced from 3 exons. NCBI's taxonomy places the organism in Eukaryota, Metazoa, Chordata, Aves, Passeriformes, Maluridae.
CACACCCUGAAGUCACUAACUGGUGUUUCCCUGCUGAUCUCCACAGGGCAGAGUUGGGCCCAUGCUGAAGACUUCUGAGAAUGCUGCUCUGCAGUUGUGGAUCUGGUCCUGUCACCUCCUGUGCACUCACUGAUGUCUCACCACUGGAAGAGACAGCAAGAUCUGGCAGCUCUGCUCACCUUCAGUCCUGCAGCUCUGGAAGCUGGUUUCCACCAGGAGGGGCCACUGUGCCUUUCCCACUGCCUGAGCUCUGACUGCUACACAUAAUGCAGGAGAGAGAUGGCUAAAGAAGGACAGCCAGAGGGAAAUUUCACUCAGAGCACUUUCAUUCAGCCAUCCCCAGAUUUCCCUGGCCUAACCCGAGCGUGUUGGUGCUGAUCUGGAGCUGGAGCCAUGGCAGUGUCUCCAUCAGGACACGGAGUCACCUAACACAGCAAGGCCAGAAUGGAGCCAGUGCCACAUGGGGGAAGGUCUAUGAAGUACAAAAGGUGAGCGAUGGAUGGUUUCUGUGAGAUAAAUACAUGCAGAGUUGGCUGGAACCRUUGUGAACUAACGAGGGCAUUCCAGGGCAGGGGAGAGGUGGGAGUAGGGAAAUAAAACMUUGCCUGCUCCAAGGGCUUGGGGUGUGUGCUUCAGGAAAGGURUGCUGCUCAAGCAGAGAUUCAGGCCUGCUGAAAUGGCAUGCCAGGGAGAAAAGGAAGGGACUGUUGUCCCAGCCAGCCUCCUCCUUGUGAGUACUGUCCAUAUUUAAGAUUGUUUAUCUUAUCUGUAAAAUACCCAUCUCUUUCUGUUGCCCUGAAAUCUCUUCAAUUUUUGGAUCUCUGUGGAGAAAUAGUAAAGGUGAGAGCAAGCACAUUUUAUGUAAGCAGCAAUCCUUGAGGCAUCCCAGUCUGGUUUUACCAAUAAAUUUAGCCUUCCUUGCAGCUGAUGGAUGUAAUUCCCUUUCCACAUCCCUGAGACUGUGAUCCAGCUGUAUAAAGACUGGCUGGCAGGAGUGCUCCUUUGACACUUGUGUCAUAAUGAAGUGAUUCAAGGAGGUCAGGAACAGGUUUUCAGAGAGUAGAGAACCUACUCCUCAGAGGAAAUGGGUUGCAAGAGAUAGCAAGGGCUGGGUUUUCACUCAUUUGAUAAUGCCACUGUAGAACUAAGAAUGAACGUCACUCACAUUCAGUCAUUUGCAAAUAAUCACUCUAAGGUAAAUCAUGCAGUUACUUUUCCUUCAGGUGURGACAGCUUCCAGGUCCUGCUGGGUGGGGGAUUUCCUGUCUGCCUUUGGUUUGUACCUUUUCCAGGUCCUGUGCUUUGCCAGCUGGUUCAUGGCUCCAUUCACACCUGCUGCAUGCUGAACUCAUUUUGAGUUUUACAACUGGGGAAUGAGGCCUGACUUCUGCAACUGGCACAAUGCAUCCUGGCAGCUGAGUCUGGGCCUUCCUCUGCCUGCUGCGAGCCAGAACGUUUGCUCAGUGGUGUUGUGCCAAAAAUUACCUUGGSAGUAUAGAAAGGGAAACCGAAUAGAGAGAAAGGGAGGAGCAUGGAAGCUCGAGUGUGUGACAGGUAUUUGUAGAGAGGUUAAACGGCAUGUACCUGAGAAGGAAAUAUUUUGGCUUCCAAGCAUUUCCAAGCAACAAGGAGGAAGGAAUAACAGUCACAUUAUCUGCUGAAUCAGAACUCUGGUCUUCUGAUGAGGAGCUGGGAGCACCAUCAGGACUGUACAAACAGGAGUUGAUGAAAAUUUCUGCAUAGCCACCCCAUGGUAAAAGCUGCAUUUCAAGAGUAAGAGCAGAAAUGGGGGAGGGACUAUUUGUCAUUUGUUCUUUUCUGCUCUCCRUUGAGGUCAAAGCAGGAGAUGUCUGGAGCAAAGGGCAGAGUGACUUAAGUGUACGUGAAACUUUGCUGGGAAAUUGUCUCAUGUCCCAGAGUAUUGACAUCAGAGCACUUCACCCUGAGCACCRGGCCCAGCUCAGGCCCUCACACACUCUGUGCAGAGCAGGGGCACUCGACUUCAAGUGGCCAGCUCAGGCAUUGUAGGGAUGAUGCAAGCAGCCCCAGAGUGUACAAUCAGUGCUCAGCUUUGGGUAAAGGGCAUCUGACAUGGCUGCACUAAGGGCAGACACUGCUGUGGACUUGCAGAGCACACGAUAAAGCAGGGCAAGGGCUGCCUGUUUGCCUCAGUGGGAAGGGGAACCUCUGCUGGGUAAUGGCAGUGGUAAUGGGGUACUCUGAGGCUGCUCACAGUAAAAGCCUUGGGGCAGUCACCCAACAAGUGCCCCUGUCGUUCCCAGGGGAGCACAGAAUGUGUCAGGUAACAUCAGCUCCAGACAGCUGAUGACAAAGUGAGUGAGGUGUCCAAGAGAUUUAAAAAAAAAAACACCAGAGAAAGUUUGUUCUUAUCCGAGCGGAUUUCCUGGAGCGAUGAGAGGGCCUGGCACGUUUCCACUCUACCUUUGGCACAUGCCUGGGCAGGCUGACACAACCUCAUUCAUUUCUAGUGAGAAAGAAGCAGUUGCCCUUAAAAUWACUGUGUUAGAGCCUGCUCUGUCCCUGCCUUUGUGCACCCUCUGGGGUCACCCAGAGAGAAGGAACAAGAGAGAACCUCCAUGAAGAGCAUCUUGCUGCUGCCACCUUGCCAUGCCACMCCUGCUGUCUUUGCUUGCUGCCCUGGCCCAAAGUGUCUCCUAGCACAGGAGCAGGUCCAGUAAGUCAGGCCCUUGGYAGGCCCCCAUAUUCCUGUACUCAUUUGUGCCUGUGAAGGCCACACAAGCCCUUUGCCCUUCUGCUCAUCACCAGACAUCCUAACAAGUCCUCUUUGCUUAAGCACCUCAGAAAAUAUUUUUCUUUAAUUUUAAAUAAACUUAACUCCUGCAGCUGAGCCAGCUGCCUGAACUAUUUUAGGUCAAGAAUUACCAGAAUUAGCAGGAGAGUAAGUUAUAUUAUAGCUGCUUGCUGACAGCUCCGUUUAAAACCAAAAAGAGCCAUCUACUUAGCUUGGAAAGCAUUGCACUCGUGUAACCUCGCAUCUGCAGUGCUUGGAUUGCAGCCUGUACCUGCGGCUGGSUUUGGUCCAUCCGUGGGUAAACCRUGACAUCUGGUGGCCACAGUGGAACUCAACGAGCUCUAUGAUCUUUGGUAGCAAAACCUUCCCCCGGAUCACUGGGGCAGGCCCAGAGGGGCACAGAACCAUGUGUCGGAAAACUUUAUGAUCCAUAACUUCUGGCACCACAAGGCUGGAAUGCCAAAACUCCGGCUGUAGCCGAGCUUGGUCCAUCCGUGGGUAAACCAUGACAUCUGGUGGCCACAGUGGAGCUCAACGCGCUCUAGGACCUCUGGUAGCAAAACCUUCUCCCAGAUCACUGGGGCGGG